This 2141-nucleotide small RNA is filed under the name Rattus norvegicus (Norway rat). Its description in RNAcentral is "uncharacterized LOC102555070". The record is from RNAcentral. Lineage: Eukaryota; Metazoa; Chordata; Mammalia; Rodentia; Muridae.
GGGGAAGGGGCAGCUGUGAGACAUUGUCAGACUGUCUACAGCUCCAGGUUCUCAUCAUGGUCUUUUAACAAAGAGCCUUACCAACUGACCCAUCUUCCUAGCCCAAAGUGUAUCUUCUUUUAAAUAAGCAAACAAUUGGAUGGCACAGUACCAAAGCUUGGGCUGAGAAUCAAAUAUUCUCUAUUGCAUCAAAGCCAGUGGCCAUACCUCCCAUCCAAGAAGGCACAGUGCACAUGAAGUCUCAGUGGAAUGGGAAGGAUGAAGGUGUAGAAGGGACAUGAGACUGAGAAAAUGUGGAGACUGCCUUCCCCAAUCUUAGAGAAAACCUGGGGAAGUCAGAGAAGAUGGGACAGGAAAUCACACUUACAGGAAGCAGAGAUGUGUUUGAAGUAAGCACUAUUGAAAUCCAAGGCCCCUAAGGAAGACUGGUGUGAUGUCCUGAGUAACACCCCAGGAAAUGGGGAGAGAAGAAUGGUAGCUAGCAGAAGAAAACAAGGUAAAGCAAGGAAAGACCACGCGAGGGGCAUGAGGCUGGGUGCCAAGAGGCAGCAGAAGAUGCCAGGACAGAAAACCUUACAGUCUGUGCCUGAGGUGGCCGUGCCGAGGCCAGAUGUGAAGCAAAAGGAAUCAUCUGGUGGGCAAUGGUUCAGGAAAGUCUUAGAUUUACCCUUUUCCUUCUGAAAUUUUAAUAAAUUUAGUCUUUGAAUUGAGUGGACAAAGCAUAGAUAAACAGGACAAAAACUUAACAGUUGUCAACAUGUCUAAGUAUGGGAGUCACAGAAAAAGUGUGUGACCCAAAGGAGACAGUAGCUGGUCAUUAAAGAGAGAUAAACAAAGGGACAUUGUUGGGGCUGCUGGGAGUAGGACAUAUGCUAUGAGAGGUGGACAGCCUCUAGGGUUGUCUUGUGAGGAAGAUAAGUCCCCCAGCCAGCCACAUGUGGUCAUCUCUAACUGGGCCAGGUGUUGGAUCUCCACUCUUCUUACUGUUGGAAAAAAAUCUUUGCUAUGAUAAGAAGCUGUGAUUGCCCUAGAGGUGUUUAGAGUUCCUUUUACAAAAGGAUAGCUCUUCAGAGUUCUUCCUGCAUCUGCCGAGAGAUCUGGUAUUACAAUAGGCAUUUGGAAACACGUCAAACAAACAUGUUUCCAGUAAACAUGACAACAUAGUCUGGUCCUUCUCAGUGUCUGGACCCUCUGAAAGGAAGCACACUAUCGCCCAAACAGGGAGCAUCACCUCCCAGGAGCCUUGUGGAGCAGAGGGUCCAGGUUGUAUGCUCACCUCAUCUGACUAGAAGUAGGGAGAGGAGGAACCUGGCUCUCUGCUGUGGGGAAACAAUGAAUAUUGUUGACUCCAAACUGGAAUAUUCUUAGGCUGUGCUUAGAGCCUGCUUCUAUAGACAGGAGGUCUCAUGAACUGGUGUAAUUUUUUACAGACACACAUUAUGUUUACCAACAAAUUUUAAUGAUACUCUCUACCCACUCUUUUUUUUUAAAUUUUAAAUGUAUUUGUAUGAGCAUAUGCCACGUGUAUGAAGGUACCCAUAGACUCUAAAAGAGCUCAAUCCCCUGGAGCUGGAGUUUAAGAUGGUUGUGAGUCAAGUCACCCAACCACCUAUUCUGAUAUUCAGUCAUGGAUCCCGUUGGCCAGUGGUAGCCGGUAGUUUUUUUUUUUAAUCAAAUUAAUUUAUUUUUAUGUAUAUGGGUGAUUUGCCUGCAUGUACGUUUAUGUCUGAGUACCGCAUUUAUUCCUGGUGGCCAUGGAAGCCAAAAGACGGCAUCAGAGCCACUGAAAUUAUAGUUACAGACAGUUAUGAGUUGUCAUAUGGGUGACAGGAACUGAACUUAGGUCCUGUGCAAGGUUAGCAGGCACUUUUAACCCCUGAGCUUCUGUCUAGUCCCUAGCUGGGUUUUAGGAUGACUAAAUUCCCGAUGUUAUCAUCCCAAUCUACCUGGAAGGGAGCUGACAAGUGUCUAGAAUAGCAUGUGGGACCCAAAUAGUUUGGCCUUCAUUAGUUUUCAGAAAAAAAUAUAAAAUAAAAAAACUUAUCUUAAAAAAAUGAAACUGAGCAUGCAAAUUACCAAUGUACUUGUGAUGGAAAGAACAAGAAAAGCCACCAGUGUGCCACGCUUCUGAUUCAUUGUCA